ACUAACGCUGGCGGCGCGUCUUAAACAUGCAAGUCGAACGGUAGCCUAUAAGCUUGCUUAAAGGUGAGAGUGGCGAACGGGUGAGUAACACGUGGAUAAUCUGCCUCUGGAUUGGGGAUAACUGUCCGAAAGGAUAGCUAAUACCGAAUAAGAUGGUGGUUACAUAAGUAGCAGCCAUUAAAGGUGGGGACCGCAAGGCCUACUGUCUGGAGAUGAGUCCGCGGCUGAUUAGCUUGUUGGUGGGGUAACGGCCUACCAAGGCGACGAUCAGUAGCCGGCCUGAGAGGGUGAACGGCCACAUUGGGACUGAGAUACGGCCCAGA
Molecule: ribosomal RNA, 323 nt
Filed under: uncultured bacterium
Lineage: Bacteria
Description: bacterial SSU rRNA
Rfam family: Bacterial small subunit ribosomal RNA
Source: RNAcentral